CAAUAGCGUAUAUUAAUGUUGUUGCAGUUAAAAAGCUCGUAGUUGGAUUUCUGCGCCGCGCAGCUCGGUCCGCCGCAAUGCGGUGCGACUGUGGCUGGAGCGUCGCAUCCUUGUGGAGACCUUUGAUGCCAUUGAUUUGGUGUCUUAUGGGAACCGCAUCGUUUACUGUGAAAAAAUUAGAGUGUUCAAAGUAGGCAUACGCCGUGAAUACAUUAGCAUGGAAUAAUAAGAUAGGACUUUGGUUCUAUUUUGUUGGUCGGAGGCCAAGGUAAUGAUUAAUAGGGAUAGUUGGGGGUAUUCAUAUUUAAUUGUCAGAGGUGAAAUUCUUGGAUUUAUGAAAGAUGAACUUAUGCGAAAGCAUUUACCAAGGAUGUUUNCAUCAA
This 383-nucleotide ribosomal RNA is filed under the name uncultured eukaryote. RNAcentral's name for it is "partial 18S ribosomal RNA". It matches the Rfam family "Eukaryotic small subunit ribosomal RNA", at positions 592 to 976 of the family's 1831-position model. The record is from RNAcentral.